Molecule: ribosomal RNA, 776 nt
Filed under: uncultured bacterium
Lineage: Bacteria
Description: bacterial SSU rRNA
Rfam family: Bacterial small subunit ribosomal RNA
Source: RNAcentral
AGAGUUUGAUCCUGGCUCAGGACGAACGCUGGCGGCGUGCUUAACACAUGCAAGUCGAACGAGGCCCUCCCUUCGGGGAGGUGUUCUAGUGGCGAACGGGUGAGUAACACGUGGGCAACCUGCCCUCAGCUCUGGGAUAACUCCAAGAAAUUGGGGCUAACACCGGAUAUGACUGCUGACCGCAUGGUCUGGUGGUGGAAAGAUUUAUCGGCUGAGGAUGGGCCCGCGGCCUAUCAGCUUGUUGGUGGGGUAGUGGCCUACCAAGGCGACGACGGGUAGCCGGCCUGAGAGGGUGACCGGCCACACUGGGACUGAGACACGGCCCAGACUCCUACGGGAGGCAGCAGUGGGGAAUAUUGCGCAAUGGGCGGAAGCCUGACGCAGCGACGCCGCGUGGGGGAUGACGGCCUUCGGGUUGUAAACCUCUUUCAGCAGGGACGAAGCGAAAGUGACGGUACCUGCAGAAGAAGCACCGGCCAACUACGUGCCAGCAGCCGCGGUAAUACGUAGGGUGCAAGCGUUGUCCGGAAUUAUUGGGCGUAAAGAGCUCGUAGGCGGUUUGUUGCGUCGGCUGUGAAAACCUGAGGCUCAACCUCAGGCCUGCAGUCGAUACGAGCAGACUAGAGUGUUGCAGGGGAGACUGGAAUUCCUGGUGUAGCGGUGAAAUGCGCAGAUAUCAGGAGGAACACCGGUGGCGAAGGCGGGUCUCUGGGCAACAACUGACGCUGAGGAGCGAAAGCGUGGGGAGCGAACAGGAUUAGAUACCCUAGUAGUCC